Molecule: ribosomal RNA, 508 nt
Filed under: Microbacterium sp. IO3
Lineage: Bacteria; Bacillati; Actinomycetota; Actinomycetes; Micrococcales; Microbacteriaceae
Description: bacterial SSU rRNA
Rfam family: Bacterial small subunit ribosomal RNA
Source: RNAcentral
UCGGGAGGCAGCAGUGGGGAAUAUUGCACAAUGGGCGCAAGCCUGAUGCAGCAACGCCGCGUGAGGGAUGACGGCCUUCGGGUUGUAAACCUCUUUUAGCAAGGAAGAAGCGAAAGUGACGGUACUUGCAGAAAAAGCGCCGGCUAACUACGUGCCAGCAGCCGCGGUAAUACGUAGGGCGCAAGCGUUAUCCGGAAUUAUUGGGCGUAAAGAGCUCGUAGGCGGUUUGUCGCGUCUGCUGUGAAAUCCCGAGGCUCAACCUCGGGUCUGCAGUGGGUACGGGCAGACUAGAGUGCGGUAGGGGAGAUUGGAAUUCCUGGUGUAGCGGUGGAAUGCGCAGAUAUCAGGAGGAACACCGAUGGCGAAGGCAGAUCUCUGGGCCGUAACUGACGCUGAGGAGCGAAAGGGUGGGGAGCAAACAGGCUUAGAUACCCUGGUAGUCCACCCCGUAAACGUUGGGAACUAGUUGUGGGGUCCUUUCCACGGAUUCCGUGACGCAGCUAACGCA